Molecule: non-coding RNA, 206 nt
Organism: Oryza glumipatula
Lineage: Eukaryota; Viridiplantae; Streptophyta; Magnoliopsida; Poales; Poaceae
Source: Rfam
AAAAAGACAAACCCUAGAUUUUCGUGUCCAACUUUGACUGUCCGUCUUAUAUGAAAUAUUUUUAUAAUUCGUAUUUUCAUUAUUCUUACAUGAUAAAAUAUGAUUAAUAUUUUAUUCGUGACUUGUAUUUUUAUUUUUUUUAAUAAUUUUUUUAAAUAAGACGGACGUUCAAAACGUUGGACACAGAAACCAGGGUUUGUCUUUUU